AACGCAUAUUGCGCCCUUUGGUAUUCCGAAGGGCAUGCCUGUUCGAGCGUCAUUAAUCACAAUAUCAAGCUUGGCUUGUUGUUGGGCCCUGUGUCACCUGGUGACAGGUCCAAAAGACAAUGACCGGUGUCAUACAGACUCCAUUUGCAACGAGCUUAUUACAGCACGCAUCUGGUAGUGGUGUGACCCGCUGAAAGCCUCUGGCACCCUUCUCAAGGUUGACCUCGGAUCAGGUAGGAAUACCCGCUGAACUUAA
RNAcentral lists this unclassified non-coding RNA (256 nucleotides) under uncultured fungus. Its description in RNAcentral is "partial contains 5.8S ribosomal RNA, internal transcribed spacer 2, and large subunit ribosomal RNA". The stretch from base 1 to 52 matches the Rfam family "5.8S ribosomal RNA", at positions 103 to 154 of the family's 154-position model. The record is from RNAcentral. Lineage: Eukaryota; Fungi.